RNAcentral lists this long non-coding RNA (916 nucleotides) under Monodelphis domestica (gray short-tailed opossum). Its description in RNAcentral is "lncRNA (ENSMODG00000034311.2)". The record is from RNAcentral. Lineage: Eukaryota; Metazoa; Chordata; Mammalia; Didelphimorphia; Didelphidae.
CUUUUAAUUUUAUUUUUGGCAUUAUGAUCUAUAUGCACAAUACCGACAUAUUUUUCCCCUCUCCUAUUCCAGAACAAAGCGCGAAUUGAGUGACCAAGACAACCUUUCCCAAGUGUAAUGUCAGUGGCGGCUAUCACUUUGGCAGAAUCAGUGAAGACAAAAACAGUCUCUUCGCCUGUUUUUUUCAUCUGCUGGUGGCAUUAAAAGUGACCCUGCCUUGUAAAUAUUGGUCAAGACCCAUAUUGGAAGAAGAAAGCUGUAUGUCAUUGUGGACUAUCAUCUGUCAAGAUCAACCAUUAAGAUUUGGAAGACCUUUCUACCGAGUAUAACUCACCAGCUUAGAGCCUGCAGAGAGCCCCACAAAUUGCCCUUGUUGCUCUGAUAUGGAUUCAGACACAUUAGCUGACCCUGGGCAAGACAUAUAACCCUAGAGAAGGGAAUGGCAAGCCCCUACAAUGUCUUUGCCAAGAAAACCCUGAAUGGGAUUCAAUCUCUAAUGGGAUUAUAAAGAGUUGGACUCAUUUGAAGUAACUGAAGAGCAAUGACAAAAAUUUCCAUCAUGAAUACAGGGACAACAGUGCUGAUAUCAUUUAUGUAUGGAACUCCAUAUAUAUGAUGAGUAAAUUUCCUCUGCCAAUGCAGUCUGACAGCUGCUCUGCAACUCUCUUCUAAUGAGGUUAAUUUUCACUUUUGCCUAGUCUGAGAUUAUAAUUGUUACUCUGCUUUUUAAACUUUAGCUGAAGCAUAAUGUAUUCUACUCCAGCACUUUACAUUUGUUCUAUAUGUAUAUUGUGAUUUAAAUGUAUUUCUUGUAAACAGCAUGUUGUGGAAUUCUGGCUUUUAAUCUUCUCUGUUCCCUCUUCCAUUUUAUAGGUGAGUAAAUUCCAUUCACAUUUGCAGUUAUAAAUUACUAACU